This 77-nucleotide transfer RNA is filed under the name Cloacibacillus sp. An23. Its description in RNAcentral is "tRNA-His". It matches the Rfam family "tRNA". From Rfam's summary of the family: Transfer RNA (tRNA) molecules are approximately 80 nucleotides in length. Their secondary structure includes four short double-helical elements and three loops (D, anti-codon, and T loops). Lineage: Bacteria; Thermotogati; Synergistota; Synergistia; Synergistales; Synergistaceae. The record is from RNAcentral.
GUGAGUGUAGCUCAAUUGGUUAGAGUAUCGGAUUGUGGUUCCGAGGGUUGCGGGUUCAAUUCCCGUCACUCACCCCA